UGGGUUGUGGCUCAGUGGUAGAGCACUCACCUAGCACGUGCGAAUCCCUGGGUGCGAUCCUCAGCACUACAU
Molecule: non-coding RNA, 72 nt
Organism: Ictidomys tridecemlineatus (thirteen-lined ground squirrel)
Lineage: Eukaryota; Metazoa; Chordata; Mammalia; Rodentia; Sciuridae
Source: Rfam